CUCUCCAUUCUUUCUUUUUUCUUCAUAUAUAUUUUUUCUAAAUAAAGUGUUAAACUCACAUGUAAAAACCAAAAUUCUAUAUCUAUUCUUAAUAUUCCUGAUUCGCCAUCAUUGUUACGACUAAUCUUUUUCCAUCAUCUUCGUCACUGUAACUUUUGCCAAUGAUAACAUACAUAUGAAAAAUUCUACAUUCUAUUCAAAAU
Molecule: long non-coding RNA, 203 nt
Filed under: Ricinus communis (castor bean)
Lineage: Eukaryota; Viridiplantae; Streptophyta; Magnoliopsida; Malpighiales; Euphorbiaceae
Description: long non-coding RNA (RCOM_LNC000153)
Source: RNAcentral